GUGCUCAUUUUGGUAGCACAUAUAUUAAAAUUGGAACAAUAUAGAGAUUAGUAGCAUUGUCCCCAAGCAAGGAUGACACACAGAUUUACUGAAAUAUUUCAGUAUCUU
Molecule: small nuclear RNA, 108 nt
Organism: Nannospalax galili (Upper Galilee mountains blind mole rat)
Lineage: Eukaryota; Metazoa; Chordata; Mammalia; Rodentia; Spalacidae
Source: Ensembl